GAAGGGGGGCGGGGUGAGAAGGGCUUUAAAAGUCCAUUGUUCAGUUUCUUGCCUUCACCGAGAGAGCUCCGACACACUGCCACGAUCCUUUGCCAUUUGAUUCAAGAAUGGCUUGCUCUUAGAAUUAGAUCUCAGGGGAACAGAGCUUGGAGACCUUCAAGUCUUCCGUUUUGCACUCACCCUACGGAAUUGAGGGAGAGACAAGAUUUCCAGGGGUGUUUACCUGCAACUCCGACCCCAGAGAGGAGCUCCAAAUCGGGGCAGAGCGGCCAAGAGGGCCCCAGACUCAGGGAUCAAACUCAGGACCUGUGCUUUCCGGGCAAGUGGCGGAACCACUAAGCUAAAUCCCCAGCCCCUAUCAUUAAACUUUUAAAUCACUGGAUCUUUCAGUUAAGCCAAUGUGGCCUAAUUGUCAUAACAUAUCAAUAAGUUGAAAUAAGCUAAUUCUAAUUUGGGGGGUGGGGUAGGGUCCAUGUAGUGUAGGCUGGCCUUGAACUCAGUAUAUAGCCCUGGCUGGCCUCGAACUCACAGCAAUCCUCCUGCUUCAGCUUCUUGAGUCCUAGGAUUACAGGCAUGUGCCAUCAUGCCCAGCUAAAAUAAACUAAUUUCAUAAGUAGGUGAGCUGAGGCAACCAGAGGUUGAGCCCCAUAAGAGACGGGGCAUAGUCAAUCUCUGAAGACCCUCUCCUCAGUACUUUGGUGCAUUCUGGAGCAUAGGGUGGCCCCUGGUCAUGAACGGCACACCUUGAAAUCAUUAGUAUGCAGGGCCUUUUCCUGCUUACUUAAUACAGGUGAGAGAUGUUCCUACACACAAGGCAGAUAUAGGCUUGGACUAAGGACAGCAACCCCUGACUUUUGGGGAAAAGUCACAAGGGAAUGAACUAUUCUACAGUAACCACCCACUCGGGGCUUGGUUUCAGAGGCGCUUCCAGUCUCCUUCCAGAGAGCUUCUUAGCUCUCCUUCUUUAGCUUCCAGAUAAACAGUUCUGUGGGUGUUUAUUUUAUGUCUGUCAGGGAGGGGCCUCCAUUGCUGGUUGCAGGUGCCUGGACAACAGGUGGGGACGUUAGUUAGCAACCUCACUCCUGUGUGAGCAAUGCUUCUCUCCUGUCGCCAGGACAGGGUCUGGGAGGGCGUUCUGCACAUUUUGUGAGCACAAGGCUGGGAGUCUGUGUGCAAAAGACAGGUGUGGAGUUCUGUGUAUAGAAGGAGGCUGUCACGUUCUCAAUUCGCCCAGCAGCCUCUGCAGCCUCACUCCUGCCCGUGCAGAACAAGCACACUGGUGUUCUCUGGAUGCUUCUUAGAAAUGUAGAUCCUCAGCCCCUAGCC
This 1326-nucleotide long non-coding RNA is filed under the name Heterocephalus glaber (naked mole-rat). RNAcentral describes it as "lncRNA (ENSHGLG00000047486.1)". Lineage: Eukaryota; Metazoa; Chordata; Mammalia; Rodentia; Bathyergidae. The record is from RNAcentral.